UUUUUUUUAAGCCUUUCCACCUUGGACGAAAUUGGGCUUUUAGAAGCAAGUGGUAUUGUUCAGAAACACAGCCUGCGUUUCCUGGCUUGAAUGGAGAGUGUCUCUUGACUGUGCUGACUUUUGGGGAUUCUUUUCUUAACAGCAGAUAGCAGUGGGGUCGGAAAGGGUGACCUGCAGUCCACGUUGCUGGAAGGGCAUGGCACAGCUCCACCUGACCUGGAUCUCUCUGCUAUUAAUGACAAAAGCAUCGUCAAAAAGACGCCACAGUUAGCAAAAACCAUAUCAAAGAAACCUGAGUCAACAUCGUUUUCUGCCCCUCGGAAAAAGAGCCCAGAUUUAUCUGAAGCAAUGGAAAUGAUGGAGUCUCAGACACUACUGCUGACGCUACUAUCCGUAAAGAUGGAGAACAAUCUUGCUGAGUUUGAAAGAAGGGCAGAAAAGAAUUUAUUAAUAAUGUGUAAGGAGAAGGAGAAGCUACAGAAAAAGGCUUACGAGCUGAAGCGCAGGCUUCUCCUCUCUCAGAGGAAGCAGGAGCUGGCAGAUGUCCUGGAUGCCCAGAUCGAGAUGCUCAGCCCCUUUGAGGCAGUGGCCACACGCUUCAAGGAGCAAUACAGGACAUUCGCCACGGCCCUGGACACUACUAGGCACGAGCUUCCCGUGAGGUCCAUCCACCUGGAGGGAGACGGGCAGCAGCUCUUAGGUAGGAAACGGGGCGUCCCAGCGUGUGUGC
Molecule: small RNA, 730 nt
Filed under: Pongo abelii (Sumatran orangutan)
Lineage: Eukaryota; Metazoa; Chordata; Mammalia; Primates; Hominidae
Description: retained intron
Source: RNAcentral